AUACGGAGGAUGCGAGCGUUAUCCGGAUUUAUUGGGUUUAAAGGGUGCGCAGGCGGCCACUUAAGUCAGCGGUUAAAUCGUGGGGCUCAACCCCAUUCUGCCGUUGAUACUGGGUGGCUUGAUUGCGGUCGAGGUUGGCGGAAUUCGUUGUGUAGCGGUGAAAUGCAUAGAUAUGACGAAGAACACCGAUUGCGUAGGCAGCUGACCAGACCGCAAAUGACGCUCAUGCACGAAAGUGCGGGGAUCGAACAGGAUUAGAUACCCUGGUAGUCCGCACAGUAAACGAUGAAUACUUGUUUUCGGCGAUAUAAUGUCGGAGGCAAAGCGAAAGCGAUAAGUAUUCCACCUGGGGAGUACGCCGGCAACGGUGAGACUCAAAGGAAUUGACGGGG
RNAcentral lists this ribosomal RNA (392 nucleotides) under uncultured bacterium. RNAcentral describes it as "partial 16S ribosomal RNA". It matches the Rfam family "Bacterial small subunit ribosomal RNA", at positions 523 to 918 of the family's 1533-position model. The record is from RNAcentral.